RNAcentral lists this long non-coding RNA (1449 nucleotides) under Erythranthe guttata (spotted monkey flower). Its description in RNAcentral is "long non-coding RNA (EGUT_LNC002413)". Lineage: Eukaryota; Viridiplantae; Streptophyta; Magnoliopsida; Lamiales; Phrymaceae. The record is from RNAcentral.
AAUUGAGACGGAGGGAGUACCAUAUUUUAUAGAUGUUUUACAAUUUUUUCUUAGAUUAAUACCACAAAUAAUUUUUUUAUUAGCAAAGUACUAAAAUAUCCCUCAUCAAACAAAAUACAAUUUAUUCAAACAAAUAUUCUUUUCCCCAUUUCAAUACCAAAGAUUGAAAAAAAAAAAACUCUCUUCUUCUCCCCAAACCCAAACCCAUUAAACCCUCUCUUCGUCUUCAUCUUCUUACAAAACCCUCAAAAAAAUCUUAAAAUUCAAAACAAUCAAAACCUCACAAAGCAUAUAAAAUAGAGUCACAAGACAACAAAAUGGUAAUUUACAUAGAAGAAAAAUCCAUUAAAGUAUGUAUCCAUGUCUUUUUGAGCUUGAAAGUCGAUUUUUGAAUUUUUUUUAACCCUUCGACAGUUUUCGACACAUAGAAGUUGAUUUUUUUGUCAAUUUUCGACACCAACUUGUCAAACAAUAUUAAAAAAAAAAAGUGAAUUUCGAUGCAUACAUGUCGUAAUUUCUCAAAAUUUCGCCAUGUAUGUGUUGAAAAAUCACUACUGCAAUUUAUAUAUAUAUAUAUAUAUAUAUAUAUAUAUAUAUGUGUGUGUGUGUGUGUGUGUGUGUGUGUGUGUGUGUGUGUGUCGAAAUUCACUCUUUUUUUUUUUAUAUUUUCGACAAGUUGGUGUCGAAAAAUUGACAAAAAUUCGAUCUGUAUGUGUCGAAAAACUAUCGACGAGGUUAAAAAACAAAGAACUUCAAAAUCGACUUCCAAGCUUAAAAAAAGAUAUGAAUUCAUACCUUAAUGGGUUCUCCUUGGUCGUAACUACCAUUUUGGUGUCAUUUGACUCCAUUUUGCGAGUUGUGUGAGCUUUUGAUUUCAUUAAUUUUGAGAUUUUUUAGGAGGGUUUGUUGUGAGGAAGAAAGUGGAGGUUGAGGGGUUUGUGAAGAAGUUGAGGGGUUUUGUGUGUCUGGUAUUUAAGAAAGAAAAAUGAGAUUUUUAAUGUUAUUAUGGUAUUGAUUUUUAUUAAAAGUAUUUAUGUCGUUAUCUAUUUAUUAUCUAAUUUUUAUUUUGGUGCUAAUGAAGUGAAAAAAUAUUGGAUAUUAAUUUUAGCUGCCCCCUAGAAAUUAUAAAUUUUCUGUUCAGAAAUUUGGGCAAUCGGUAGUUAAAGGGGCGUUUAGUAAUUAUGAAUAUAUUAGAGGUUUUUUGGUACUCAAACUUUAAUUUAGGGAAUUUUUGGUAAUUUACUCUAAAAAUGCCUUUAUCUUCUUUCAUAAACUCCGAUUUCUCCAAAAAAAAAAAAAAAAAAAAAAAAAAAAGAGGCUUAUCAAAAUGAGUAUAAUAUUCAGUAUCGGAAGGAAAGUAAAUAAAAAGUUGUUAGUCACUUACCUUUUGAGAGUUGGGGAUGGUUGAGCCUCAAGCUAUAGAAUCUCUGGCAAAUUGGUUUGAGAGAU